GGGGUUGUGCCUCAGUGGUACAGUGCUUGCCUAGCAUGCAUGAGGCACUGGGUUCAAUCCUCAGCACCACA
RNAcentral lists this transfer RNA (71 nucleotides) under Marmota monax (woodchuck). Its description in RNAcentral is "tRNA.Ala". The record is from RNAcentral. Lineage: Eukaryota; Metazoa; Chordata; Mammalia; Rodentia; Sciuridae.